RNAcentral lists this small nuclear RNA (21 nucleotides) under Arabidopsis thaliana (thale cress). RNAcentral describes it as "snRNA_10816". Lineage: Eukaryota; Viridiplantae; Streptophyta; Magnoliopsida; Brassicales; Brassicaceae. The record is from RNAcentral.
AACACUCUGCACUCAAUGUCC